This 631-nucleotide long non-coding RNA is filed under the name Olea europaea (common olive). RNAcentral's name for it is "long non-coding RNA (OEUR_LNC011729)". The record is from RNAcentral. Lineage: Eukaryota; Viridiplantae; Streptophyta; Magnoliopsida; Lamiales; Oleaceae.
UGAAGGUUAGAAUGGACAAUUGGUUUGAAAUUAUCAGCUCCAAAGGUGAAGGCCGUUGCUCCAGUUGAAUCACCUCCAAUGGAUUGUGUACUAAUUUUCCUCUGAUUAUCCUCUUGAGAAAAAAGUGCAAAAACUUUGUUAAUAGGAGGUAGAGGAUCCAUAAGUAGUAUCUGGCCCUGAGCUUGAGAAAAUGAGCCAUUCAAUCCCAUAAGAAAUGACAUAAUGUACUCCAUUUGAUGAUGUUUAUUCAGCUCCUUAACCCCCCUCCCCCGUAAGUACAUUUUCCACAGGUGCAAUUGGGCCAAAAAUUAUUCAACUCUUCCCACACGGUUUUGAGCUUAGUGAAAUACACACUCACAGUGCUUUGAUCCUGGAGUAAAUUCACCAGCUUCCUCCUUAGCUGGAAGAUUCGCGGUCCAUUACUUUGUUGAUAUCGUUUCUUGAGAUCAUUCCACAUCUCAUCUGUUGUGUUUGCAUAUCACACUAACCGAGAUCUCUUUUGAGACUGAAAUUAGAAUCCAAGAUAUCACCAUAUUAUUGUUUUGAGUCCAAGAACUUACUAAAUCAGGAUCUGUAUCUCCUGGUUUUUCAAUGGAUCCAUCAAUGAAAGACGGCUUGUUCUUGACUGAUA